UACGAAGGGGGCUAGCGUUGCUCGGAAUUACUGGGCGUAAAGGGCGCGUAGGCGGCCAGUUUAGUCAGAGGUGAAAGCCCAGGGCUCAACCUUGGAAUUGCCUUUGAUACUGGCUGUCUUGAGUUCGGGAGAGGUGAGUGGAAUGCCGAGUGUAGAGGUGAAAUUCGUAGAUAUUCGGCGGAACACCAGUGGCGAAGGCGACUCACUGGCCCGAUACUGACGCUGAGGCGCGAAAGCGUGAGGAGCAAACAGG
Molecule: ribosomal RNA, 253 nt
Filed under: uncultured bacterium
Lineage: Bacteria
Description: partial 16S ribosomal RNA
Rfam family: Bacterial small subunit ribosomal RNA
Source: RNAcentral